CUGAUGUACAUGGGAAAUUCAUCUUGAAGCCCAGAAACUCAGCAAGAAACCAGCAGCAAAAGAAUAUGAAGGAAAAAACUUUUAAGAAACAAAGAACUUCUAUAACAUCGCAGUUGGACAGGGCUCUGUGCCCCACCAGGACCAAGUAUGCACCACCCCACCAUUUAAAAAGGGAAGAAAACUGUUUGGAAGAGAACUCAGUUCCAUUUGUCAGGAUGGCAUCCUGCCUGGAGCAAUUCUGGACAUGCUGUAUCUACUAAAAAAGAACGGGCUCACAACCACGGGUGUCUUUUUAGAACCUCCGAGUAUAACUUUGUGCCAAACAGUAAAGGACAAAUUGGAUUCGGAAGAGGAGGUGGAUAUGAACAAGC
RNAcentral lists this long non-coding RNA (371 nucleotides) under Rattus norvegicus (Norway rat). RNAcentral describes it as "long non-coding RNA NONRATT007231". Lineage: Eukaryota; Metazoa; Chordata; Mammalia; Rodentia; Muridae. The record is from RNAcentral.